Molecule: long non-coding RNA, 698 nt
Filed under: Ananas comosus (pineapple)
Lineage: Eukaryota; Viridiplantae; Streptophyta; Magnoliopsida; Poales; Bromeliaceae
Description: long non-coding RNA (ACOM_LNC010530)
Source: RNAcentral
AACUAAAGUUUCAAUUCGUUCAAACUUGUCAUUUUAAUAAUCAAAACCUUGAACUUUCAAUAAAUUUUUUUUUCAGUAUUUAAAAUUUUAAUUAUUUCUCAUUUUAAUUUUUACACUCGAUUUAAAAAUUAUUGUUUGUACCAAGUUCAUCUAUAUAUCCAUAUGCCAUGAAUACAUUAAACUUUCAUCCAUCUCACAUUUUCAAUUCAACAUCUAGAUUCUAUAGAGCAAAAAAUGUAAAUCAAUAGGUGGUAGCACUGCAAGAAAACUAAAAUUUAAGAGCGCUUUUUUCAAUAUUUAACGAUGUUUAAAAGUAUUCUAAAAUAGUCUAUUAUCAUAUUUAAAAAAAUCGGCAAAAGUGUUGAUAAAUGAAGACUCGCCACGUAUAUACUGAUGCUUGUGCUAAAUAUUAAUAAAAUAUAUUUUGACGCUUUAAAGCGUCAGAAUUUUUUGAAAUUCCGAAGCUUUAAAUCGUCGAAAAAUUAAAACUAAUAGUGAAAUUUAUCACCGACCGUCCCUAGAGCAAGUGGCAAAGGACUUGGUGGUUGGUACCCGAGACCCAAGUUCGAAUCCUAGUUGAUUCACAUUUCCAGCUAAGUUUAUUAAAAAUUUCUUAUAGUAUAGGGUUAAGAUGAAAAAAGUAUUGAUAAAUCUAUGGUAUAUAGGCGUAUAGAUAUACUAGAUGUAUAGAAUAAUUU